CCCCCCUCUAAUCAGUGAAACUGAUCUCCCCGUGAAGAAGCGGGGAUAUACAUAUAAGACGAGAAGACCCCAUGGAGCUUUAAACCUGACAGCACCCGCUCAUUCUAUACCCCAUUAUUUGCCCGACCCCUGUCUGCUCAGUUUUAGGUUGGGGUGACCACGGAGUAUAAAAUAACCUCCAUGAAGAAGGGGAUAUUUCCCUUAUUAGAGAACCACACUUCCAAGAACUAAUAAAUUAAUUUUCAAUGACCCGAUACCUGAUAAUCGAUCAACGAACCAAGUUACCCUGGGGAUAACAGCGCAAUCCACCCUGAAAGCCCUUAUUAACAGGUGGGUUUACGACCUCGAUGUUGGAUCAGGGUAUCCCAGUGGUGCAGCAGCUACUGAGGGUUCGUUUGUUCAACGAUUAAAACCCU
This 416-nucleotide ribosomal RNA is filed under the name Boophis quasiboehmei. Its description in RNAcentral is "partial 16S ribosomal RNA". It matches the Rfam family "Bacterial large subunit ribosomal RNA", at positions 2022 to 2597 of the family's 2925-position model. The record is from RNAcentral. Lineage: Eukaryota; Metazoa; Chordata; Amphibia; Anura; Mantellidae.